Molecule: ribosomal RNA, 393 nt
Filed under: uncultured bacterium
Lineage: Bacteria
Description: partial 16S ribosomal RNA
Rfam family: Bacterial small subunit ribosomal RNA
Source: RNAcentral
AUACGGAGGAUGCAAGCGUUAUCCGGAUUUAUUGGGUUUAAAGGGUGCGUAGGCGGUUUGCUAAGCGGGAGGUGAAAUGCCGGCGCUCAACGUCGGAAGUGCCUCCCGAACUGGUGGGCUUGAGUGACUAUGCCGUGGGAGGUAUGUGUAGUGUAGCGGUGAAAUGCUUAGAGAUUACCCAGAACACCGAUUGCGAAGGCAUCUCACGAAGGGUUGAUUGACGCUGAGGCACGAAAGCGUGGGGAUCAAACAGUAUUAGAUACCCUGGUAGUCCACGCAGUAAACGAUGAUGGCUAACCGCUGGGCUUAUCAGUUCAGUGGCCAAGCGAAAGCGAUAAGCCAUCCACCUGGGGAGUACGACCGCAAGGUUGAAACUCAAAUGAAUUGACGGGG